Molecule: ribosomal RNA, 381 nt
Filed under: uncultured bacterium
Lineage: Bacteria
Description: bacterial SSU rRNA
Rfam family: Bacterial small subunit ribosomal RNA
Source: RNAcentral
GACGAACGCUGGCGGCGUGCCUAACACAUGCAAGUCAACUUGACUGAAGGAGCAAUCUGACAGUAGAGUGGCGCAAGGGUGCGUAACGCGUAAGUAACUUGCCCCAAGGUAAGGAAUAACGUCGAGAAAUCGGCGCUAAUACCUCAUAAUGCAGCGGAUCCGCAUGGAUAUGUUGUUAAAGGUUUACCGCCUUGGGAUAGGCUUGCGUCUGAUUAGUUAGUUGGUGUGGUAACGGCACACCAAGGCUACGAUCAGUAACUGGUCUGAGAGGAUGAUCAGUCACACUGGAACUGAGACACGGUCCAGACUCCUACGGGAGGCAGCAGUGAGGAAUAUUGGGCAAUGCUCGAAAGAGUGACCCAGCAACGCCGCGUGGAGGAU